This 576-nucleotide ribosomal RNA is filed under the name Boops boops. RNAcentral's name for it is "partial 16S ribosomal RNA". It matches the Rfam family "Bacterial large subunit ribosomal RNA", at positions 1819 to 2597 of the family's 2925-position model. The record is from RNAcentral. Lineage: Eukaryota; Metazoa; Chordata; Actinopteri; Spariformes; Sparidae.
CCUCUUGCAAGACUUAAUGAAUAAGAGGUCCCGCCUGCCCUGUGACUAUAUGUUUAACGGCCGCGGUAUUUUAACCGUGCGAAGGUAGCGCAAUCACUUGUCUUUUAAAUGGAGACCUGUAUGAAUGGCAUCACGAGGACUUAGCUGUCUCCCCCUUCCAGUCAAUGAAAUUGAUCUCCCCGUGCAGAAGCGGGGAUAAGCACAUAAGACGAGAAGACCCUAUGGAGCUUAAGACGCCAGGGCAGCUCACGUUAAACGCCCCUAAUAAAGGAAUAAAACCUAGUGAAUCCUGCUCUAAUGUCUUUGGUUGGGGCGACCACGGGGAAUCAUAAAACCCCCACGUGGAAUGGGAGCACCACACUCCUAAACCCAAGAGCUUCCGCUCUAAUGAACAGAACUUCUGGCCAUAUUAGAUCCGGUAAAACCGAUCAACGAACCGAGUUACCCUAGGGAUAACAGCGCAAUCCUCUUAAAGAGUUCUUAUCGACAAGGGGGUUUACGACCUCGAUGUUGGAUCAGGACAUCCUAAUGGUGCAGCCGCUAUUAAGGGUUCGUUUGUUCAACGAUUAAAGUCCU